RNAcentral lists this ribosomal RNA (496 nucleotides) under uncultured bacterium. RNAcentral's name for it is "partial 16S ribosomal RNA". It matches the Rfam family "Bacterial small subunit ribosomal RNA", at positions 28 to 506 of the family's 1533-position model. The record is from RNAcentral.
GAUGAACGCUGGCGGCGUGCCUAAUACAUGCAAGUCGAGCGAACAGACGAGGAGCUUGCUCCUCUGAUGUUAGCGGCGGACGGGUGAGUAACACGUGGAUAACCUACCUAUAAGACUGGGAUAACUUCGGGAAACCGGAGCUAAUACCGGAUAACAUGUUGAACCGCAUGGUUCAACAGUGAAAGACGGUCUUGCUGUCACUUAUAGAUGGAUCCGCGCCGCAUUAGCUAGUUGGUAAGGUAACGGCUUACCAAGGCAACGAUGCGUAGCCGACCUGAGAGGGGGACCGGCCCAACGGGAACGGGGACAGGGUCCAGACCCCAAGGGGGGGCAGCAGGGGGAAACUUUCCGAAAGGGGGGAAAGCCUGAGGGGGAAACGCCGGGGGGGUGAAGAAGGUUUUGGGUUGGUAAAACCUUUUUAUUGGGGAAAAAAAAAUGGGUAAGUAACUAUGCACGUCUGGAGGGUACCAAACAAGAAAGCCACGGCUAACUACGU